This 231-nucleotide unclassified non-coding RNA is filed under the name plant metagenome. RNAcentral's name for it is "partial contains small subunit ribosomal RNA, internal transcribed spacer 1, and 5.8S ribosomal RNA". The record is from RNAcentral.
UCUCCGUUGGUGAACCAGCGGAGGGAUCAUUACAGAGUUGCAAAACUCCCAAACCAUUGUGAACGUUACCUAUCCCGUUGCUUCGGCGGGCGGCCCGGGCCCCGCGCCCGGCGCCCCCCGGCCCCCCGUGGGCGCCCGCCGGAGGUAAACCAAACCCUUGAAUUGCAUGGCCUCUCUGAGUCUUCUGUACUGAAUAAGUCGAAACUUUCAACAACGGAUCUCUUGGUUCUG